RNAcentral lists this long non-coding RNA (688 nucleotides) under Apteryx owenii (little spotted kiwi). Its description in RNAcentral is "lncRNA (ENSAOWG00000001120.1)". The record is from RNAcentral. Lineage: Eukaryota; Metazoa; Chordata; Aves; Apterygiformes; Apterygidae.
GUUAUUAGCAAAUGUUUACCCAAAGUGAGUUUGAAACCUAUAAAAGGGAACAUUUGAAAUAUUUCCAAGAUUUGCAUUCAUUUGGCCAGAGUAAUCAUUAUACCUGACUUAUAUGUCCAAUCCAGAAUAAUCAAGCAGCUUCAGUUUUGAGUAUCAAGUGCUUGCACUAAACUUGAAAACCUGUUUCCAAACCAAGGUUCAAUCAGACUACAGAAAUCUUUCAAAUAGAUGCACUAAAAUGAAUCAAAAGUUGUUCACGUAUGUGAAGAGGGAAAGGGAAGAAAAUCAUUAAUUAUAUUAUUCAACAGCUUUGUUAUUAACAGUACAGUCCCUCUUUCAGCAGCAUUAAAGAUCAGUUUCCUCUGCCCUUUCAGCAGCCGGCUCUGUCUCUCCACGUACUGCAGGGGCUCGUAGUGCAGGAGUUUCUCUCAGCUGGAAGAGCGUGGUAUAAUCCUCACAUCCUUUCUACUAAUAUGGCUAUUCCUAUGCCAUGUCAACUUUUUUAUUCUCCACAAUGAAGACCCAGGUUUGUGUCAGGAUGAGCAGAGGGCUUCAAAGCUCCAGGACUCAAUUAGACACAAGUCUGAAUGAGACAAGAGCCUUAUUGAACCUGCCUCAGCUAGGAGCCUGUCCCCUCCAAGCCCGCUGGGUACAACUGACAGAAAACUGUUUGUGUCUGAGGAACUGA